GGUUGAUCCUGCCAGUAGUCAUAUGCUUGUCUCAAAGAUUAAGCCAUGCAUGUCUCAGUACAAGCCAAAUUAAGGUGAAACCGCGAAAGGCUCAUUAAAUCAGUUAUGGUUCCUUAGAUCGUACCCACAAUUACUUGGAUAACUGUGGUAAUUCUAGAGCUAAUACAUGCAAACAGAGCUCCGACCGGAGACGGAAGGAGUGCUUUUAUUAGAUCAAAACCAAUCGGUAGCGAGUUCGCUCGUCAUCGUACAACUUGGUGACUCUGAAUAACUUUACGCUGAUCGCACGGUCUUCGCACCGGCGACGCAUCUUUCAAAUGUCUGCCUUAUCAACUGUCGAUGGUAGGUUCUGCGCCUACCAUGGUCGUAACGGGUAACGGGGAAUCAGGGUUCGAUUCCGGAGAGGGAGCCUGAGAAACGGCUACCACAUCCAAGGAAGGCAGCAGGCGCGCAAAUUACCCACUCCCGGCACGGGGAGGUAGUGACGAAAAAUAACGAUACGGGACUCAUCCGAGGCCCCGUAAUCGGAAUGAGUACACUCUAAACCCUUUAACGAGGAUCAAUUGGAGGGCAAGUCUGGUGCCAGCAGCCGCGG
RNAcentral lists this ribosomal RNA (595 nucleotides) under Rhinidotasia edentata. RNAcentral's name for it is "SSU rRNA". It matches the Rfam family "Eukaryotic small subunit ribosomal RNA", at positions 6 to 579 of the family's 1831-position model. The record is from RNAcentral. Lineage: Eukaryota; Metazoa; Arthropoda; Insecta; Coleoptera; Curculionidae.